UGGCGGACGGGUGAGUAAUGUCUGGGAAACUGCCUGAUGGAGGGGGAUAACUACUGGAAACGGUAGCUAAUACCGCAUAACGUCGCAAGACCAAAGAGGGGGACCUUCGGGCCUCUUGCCAUCGGAUGUGCCCAGAUGGGAUUAGCUAGUAGGUGGGGUAACGGCUCACCUAGGCGACGAUCCCUAGCUGGCUGAGAGGAUGACAGCCACACUGGAACUGAGACACGGUCCAG
Molecule: ribosomal RNA, 233 nt
Filed under: uncultured bacterium
Lineage: Bacteria
Description: partial 16S ribosomal RNA
Rfam family: Bacterial small subunit ribosomal RNA
Source: RNAcentral